GACGAACGCUGGCGGCGUGCUUAACACAUGCAAGUCGAACGGAAAGGCCCUGCUUUUGUGGGGUGCUCGAGUGGCGAACGGGUGAAUAACACGUGAGUAACCUGCCCUUGACUUUGGGAUAACUUCAGGAAACUGGGGCUAAUACCGGAUAGGAGCUCCUGCUGCAUGGUGGGGGUUGGAAAGUUUCGGCGGUUGGGGAUGGACUCGCGGCUUAUCAGCUUGUUGGUGGGGUAGUGGCUUACCAAGGCUUUGACGGGUAGCCGGCCUGAGAGGGUGACCGGCCACAUUGGGACUGAGAUACGGCCCAGACUCCUACGGGAGGCAGCAGUGGGGAGUAUUGCACAAUGGGCGGAAGCCUGAUGCAGCAACGCCGCGUGCGGGAUGACGGCCUUCGGGUUGUAAACCGCUUUCGCCUGUGACGAAGCGUGAGUGACGGUAAUGGGUAAAGAAGCACCGGCUAACUACGUG
This 468-nucleotide ribosomal RNA is filed under the name uncultured bacterium. RNAcentral's name for it is "partial 16S ribosomal RNA". It matches the Rfam family "Bacterial small subunit ribosomal RNA", at positions 28 to 507 of the family's 1533-position model. The record is from RNAcentral.